GACGAACGCUGGCGGCGUGCCUAAUACAUGCCAGUUGAGCGCUGAAGGUUGGUACUUGUACCAACUGGAUGAGCAGCGCACGGGUGAGUAACGCGUGGGGAAUCUGCCUUUGAGCGGGGGACAACAUUUGGAAACGAAUGCUAAUACCGCAUAAAAACUUUAAACACAAGUUUUAAGUUUGAAAGAUGCAAUUGCAUCACUCAAAGAUGAUCCCGCGUUGUAUUAGCUAGUUGGUGAGGUAAAGGCUCACCAAGGCGAUGAUACAUAGCCGACCUGAUAGGAUGAUCGGCCACAUUGAGACGGUGACACGGCCCAAACGCCUACGGGAGGCAGCAGUAGUGAAACUGCGGCAAUGGACGAAAGUCUGACCGAGCAACGCCGCGUGAGUGAAGAAGGUUUUCGGAUCGUAAAACUCUGUUGGUAGAGAAGAACGUUGGUGAGAGUGGAAAGCACAUCAAGUGACGGUAACUACCCAGAAAGGGACGGCUAACUACGUG
This 497-nucleotide ribosomal RNA is filed under the name uncultured bacterium. RNAcentral's name for it is "partial 16S ribosomal RNA". It matches the Rfam family "Bacterial small subunit ribosomal RNA", at positions 28 to 507 of the family's 1533-position model. The record is from RNAcentral.